UAAAAGGUUGUCUUAACAACCAAACCAUUUUAUUUAAAGACAUUAG
Non-coding RNA from Xenopus laevis (African clawed frog), 46 nucleotides. NCBI's taxonomy places the organism in Eukaryota, Metazoa, Chordata, Amphibia, Anura, Pipidae. The record is from Rfam.